UACAGAGGUCCCAAGCGUUGUUCGGAUUCACUGGGCGUAAAGGGUGCGUAGGUGGUGAUGUAAGUUUGAUGUGAAAUCUCCGGGCUUAACCCGGAAAUUGCAUUGAAUACUACAUGGCUUGAGGUUUGGAGGGGGGACUGGAAUUCUUGGUGUAGCAGUGAAAUGCGUAGAUAUCAAGAGGAACACCAGUGGCGAAGGCGAGUCCCUGGACAAAUCCUGACACUGAGGCACGAAAGCUAGGGGAUCAAACGGGAUUAGAUACCCCGGUAGUCCUAGCCCUAAACCGUGCACAUUUGCUGUGAGAGGAAUCAACCCCUUUCGUGGCGUAGCUAACGCGUUAAAUGUGCCGCCUGGGGAGUACGGUCGCAAGAUUA
Molecule: ribosomal RNA, 374 nt
Filed under: uncultured prokaryote
Description: bacterial SSU rRNA
Rfam family: Bacterial small subunit ribosomal RNA
Source: RNAcentral